GAACUGAAGAGUUUGAUCAUGGCUCAGAUUGAACGCUGGCGGCAGGCCUAACACAUGCAAGUCGAGCGGUAGAGAGGUGCUUGCACCUCUUGAGAGCGGCGGACGGGUGAGUAAUGCCUAGGAAUCUGCCUGGUAGUGGGGGAUAACGCUCGGAAACGGACGCUAAUACCGCAUACGUCCUACGGGAGAAAGCAGGGGACCUUCGGGCCUUGC
RNAcentral lists this ribosomal RNA (213 nucleotides) under Pseudomonas lini. Its description in RNAcentral is "partial 16S ribosomal RNA". It matches the Rfam family "Bacterial small subunit ribosomal RNA", at positions 1 to 216 of the family's 1533-position model. The record is from RNAcentral. Lineage: Bacteria; Pseudomonadati; Pseudomonadota; Gammaproteobacteria; Pseudomonadales; Pseudomonadaceae.